UACGAAGGGGGCUAGCGUUGCUCGGAAUCACUGGGCGUAAAGCGCACGUAGGCGGCUUUCUAAGUCAGGGGUGAAGUCCUGGAGCUCAACCCCAGAACUACCUUUGAUACUGGAGAGCUUGAGUCCGGAAGAGGUGAGUGGAACUCCGAGUGUAGAGGUGAAAUUCGUAGAUAUUCGGAAGAACACCAGUGGCGAAGGCGGCUCACUGGUCCGGUACUGACGCUGAGGUGCGAAAGCGUGGGGAGCAAACAGG
RNAcentral lists this ribosomal RNA (253 nucleotides) under uncultured bacterium. RNAcentral describes it as "partial 16S ribosomal RNA". It matches the Rfam family "Bacterial small subunit ribosomal RNA", at positions 524 to 776 of the family's 1533-position model. The record is from RNAcentral.